CAGACAAGAGAUCACCAUGAGCACGUGGCUCAUCAGUCUAUAAGUUGGUGGACUUCUUUAAUCAGCAACAAUGUUGAUUAAUGGAUCUAGUUGCUCAAUAAUUCCUGACAAUAAAUGACAGUAUAAGUACGACCGUAUAAUAAAUAAAUCAAAUAGACAAAGUUUGUCAAGGCAAAAUAUUGUAUUAUGUGCCUUUUGUGAAUAAAUGAUUUAUUUUGUUGUGUGAUAAAUGACAUGUUGCAUAAAUCAACAAUAUAUUAGGUAUUGCCUAAAUGUGUGUGUAUAUAUAUAUAAUCAUGAAUAAAUGAUUUAUUCAGUUGUUUGAUAAAUGACAUGCUGCAUAAAUCAACAAUAUAUUAAGUAUUGCCUAAAUGUGUGUGUGUAUAUAUAUAAUCAUGAAUAAAUGAUUUAUUCAGUUGUUUGAUAAAUGACAUGCUGCAUAAAUCAACAAUAUAUUAGGUAUUGCCUAAAUGUGUGUGUGUGUGUAUAUAUAUAUAUAUAUAAUCAUGAAUAAAUGAUUUAUUCAGUUGUUUAAUAAAUGACAUGCUGCAUAAAUCAACAAUAUAUUAGGUAUUGCCUAAAUGUGUGUGUGUAUAUAUAUAUAAUCAUGAAUAAAUGAUUUAUUCAGUUGUUUGAUAAAUCACAUGUUGUAUAAAUCAAUAACGUGGUAGUAAUCAUGUGAUAUCAGAAAUAAUAAUUAUAUUAUUUAAUCAUAAGUCAUCAUGACAUAAAAAUAAUAAAAUUAUUAUUUUAUAAUUAGUUAUCAUGACACAAAUAAAAUAAUAAGAUAUUAAAUAAACAAUGAUAUUGAGAAAACAUAAUGAUGAGAUAUUAAAGGAGAGCAUCUUAUCUUUUGCAGAAGUUGGUGGGUUUUCAGUGGGAUAGUGGAUCACCGUUGUCCAGAUCCAUAUUCAGCGAAUCUGUUCACGACUUCCCAUUC
This 940-nucleotide long non-coding RNA is filed under the name Malus domestica (apple). Its description in RNAcentral is "long non-coding RNA (MDOM_LNC016841)". The record is from RNAcentral. Lineage: Eukaryota; Viridiplantae; Streptophyta; Magnoliopsida; Rosales; Rosaceae.